This 839-nucleotide long non-coding RNA is filed under the name Vulpes vulpes (red fox). RNAcentral describes it as "lncRNA (ENSVVUG00000016352.1)". Lineage: Eukaryota; Metazoa; Chordata; Mammalia; Carnivora; Canidae. The record is from RNAcentral.
AAACCCGUAGGCCAAUUUCAUUUAUAAAAACUGGUACAGACACCCUAAAUUAGCGAACAACUUAGUAGCAUUUUAAAAUCCUAAUAAAAAAAGGCCAUGUGAGGUUUAUUCUAGGCAUUUACAAAUGUUUUGAAAGUGGAAACUUAAUUUAUAUUAAGAUCUUAGUAACAGAGGCAUGUUGAGAGAGUGUCUACCAUCAUGAAUUUUUGAACAUGAUUCUAGAGGCAAUAGGUAAUGUGUGUGAGAGUAUGAACCUGUUCCUUUGGAAAACCCCAAAGAAUUAUUUGAAGAGGAGAAUUUAGAAAUGUGGCUGGCUAUAAUAAAAUCCAUAAAGAGCAAUACUUUCCUAUAGAUUAUAACUGGAUAGGGUACAAUGCCAGAGAAUCUAGCAUAGCAACAAUAGGUAAGUUUGUAAGAAUCGAAAGAAACCUGCAAGAUCGAGUUGAAGAAAACCAUCUCCUGAAGGACAAAGAUCCCCACCUGACUUCAGCGCAGCCGCCUGGACAGCUCUGGAGGGCUUCAACUCCUCUCAAGCACAGCCACUUCUUUCACCGCCUGUCCUGGGGUUCCUACUACACCGUAGAGGUUUCCAAGAGCCUGCUUGCAUCGUGUCUCUGAUUCUGAUACGCCGCCUUCACCCUGGACCCUCCAUCCCUGCUGGGGCCUCCCUGGGGGCUUUCAUCUGUGUCGCCCACUGUUGAUAUGGAGCUGCGUCAGCCUGAGGACGGACUGGUCUGAGCAUCAGAGAGCCAGGAUGGAGCCUGCUACUAAUGGCAAGCGUCUGGAUUCCAUGAACGAUCCUUUGAAGGGGUGACACUGUGGUGACCCCUCCCCCUGCU